Molecule: ribosomal RNA, 1251 nt
Filed under: Triticum aestivum (bread wheat)
Lineage: Eukaryota; Viridiplantae; Streptophyta; Magnoliopsida; Poales; Poaceae
Description: partial small subunit ribosomal RNA
Source: RNAcentral
UGGCUAAGGUUAAUUUCUGUGCUAUGAACGGAACAAGCGAAGGGGAGAGGGGGCGCCUUCUUUGGGUUGGGAUCGGAGGCUCCAGCUCAGAGGCCGCUGGGAAGCCGUCGUGGCGCUCGGAGAGGACCUCGACAGGGCGACGUUUAGCCUUCGCGCUCGCAACUCCUCCUCCUCCACAACCAGCCGCUAAAUGACUAAAACCCUUCGCCCCCUCCUACCCCAGCAGCAGGUUCCACCACGCCGGCCUCCUCCACGACCUCAGCGACUUCUUGCUGCCGUGGCAGCUGCGCGAGGCGUACUUCUAGUAGCGGGUCGAGUUCCGGCUGCUCCUGUACUUCUUUUUAUGAUACUACUACCACCUCGUUUCGUUUCAAGACUUCUGAGGACCUCGACUCUUUUUCUGGUUCUCCCUCGACAAACUACGAGAAUCUGUUCUUAACCUUUGAGGCCAAGAACUCUUUCGGAGUUUCCGUCAAACCCUCGACUAUGAGCUGUUACCACCUGAUCCCUUUCUCUAGUGACUCUGUCAACUCUUUCAGAAGACGGCCGAGUCGCCUUAACUACACUACGGUGGAGGUCGAAGUUGUAGGCCACGAGGAGUUCUCUUUGUCUGUUUAUACCGACAUCUCCUCCCAGUCUUCCUAUACCUUUACCUACGGAGACUUGGUAGCAGAAGGAGUUCCUUCUCCGGAAAGUCACUGUAGUCACACUUUCGUCGUCCACGAUAUGGUUUGCCACCGCGAUGUAUGGUCGUACUGCUAGUGCUCCUGUCCUUGAUCCUCUAGACCCGCACAGCACCCGUUCGUAAGCCCACUAAGACCCCUCUCACACACGAGACAACGUAGUCACCUUUUAGAAUACGCUGUCCCUAGUUAGCUACGAUGACGCCGCAACAGAGGACAACAACCUGGCUGCUUCUUCACUCGACCACGCGUAACGUACCCUCCCUGGUUCCUACCACGUUUAUUCCCUGAUCUACCUGAGUACGACUUCCGCGUGUGACCUACUAGAGAGGGAGGACGCACUCCUACAGUAAGACAUUAUCCUGUCUGGAAUGAAUCUAGGGAACUACGUGCGACCUACACAACGGCUUAGUUAACGAGAAUCAUCAACAUCAAACGUAUAUCAGACCGGACGAUGAAACCACUCCGAGCUCACGAUAGUAAUACAAAACCAAACGAUAAGAGACAAAAUACGUUAUUUUACCUCUCCCCCCUUUUGGGGAAAACAAAGUUUUUUUAUGUCACUGUU